Long non-coding RNA from Triticum aestivum (bread wheat), 714 nucleotides. RefSeq lists it as uncharacterized. The transcript is spliced from 3 exons. The record is from RefSeq and is a predicted model, not a curated record. NCBI's taxonomy places the organism in Eukaryota, Viridiplantae, Streptophyta, Magnoliopsida, Poales, Poaceae.
UCGCUCGAACUCCCUGUCUCUUCGUUUCCACACAGGCGGCGAACGCAGGGACUGGCGCCUGGCGCUAGAGCCCUAGAAGGCUAGACGCACGGCCGUCGCCCGGCAGCGAGCGGACGCAAGGCGUCCAGACAGUCUACUCGUCCGGUCAUCCCUCAACCCCCUCCUUCUUCUCAUUUCGCCUCGGCUCUGUUCGGAGAGGGAGAGCUUCUUGCACCAGCUCACAUCACUGAACUUCUUCAAGUAGAGAAGAUAAAACAGAUUACAGAUUACUCUGUGUUUAUUUUCAGAGAUGAGGACUUUUUUGGUUAAUAGAGCAAGCACUGAAAAUGUGAACAGUGUGCAACCGGACAUAGAACUGGAGGCACACCCACCUCCUAACAUUGUCAAUGAGGAGGUUUUCUACUUGUGAUGAUGUUCAAAGUAUGGCCAUGAAGAUGGUUGAAACUGAGAAACAUUUGGUAUUUUCACUGGUAUACAAACUUAUUGAGUUGGCCUUGAUAUUGCCGGCGUCAACGGUAUUUGUUGAGAGAGAUUUUUCAGGAAUGAAGAUUAUCAAGACUAAACUGCGUAGCAAGAUCAAUAAUGAAUGGUUUAAUGACUUGUUGAGAUGUUACACCGAGCGGGAGUUAUUCAAGUCAGUUGAUGAUAAGGAUAUUGUUCAAACAUUUACUGCAACGAGCUCUCGGAAGGGGUAUUUGCCUCAUGAUUUUGUUU